GGGGCUGUAGCUCAGUGGGAGAGCACUACGCUGGCAGCGUAGUGGCCGAGGGUUCGAAUCCCUCCAGCUCCA
RNAcentral lists this transfer RNA (72 nucleotides) under Candidatus Saelkia tenebricola. RNAcentral's name for it is "tRNA-Ala". It matches the Rfam family "tRNA". From Rfam's summary of the family: Transfer RNA (tRNA) molecules are approximately 80 nucleotides in length. Their secondary structure includes four short double-helical elements and three loops (D, anti-codon, and T loops). Lineage: Bacteria; Pseudomonadati; Candidatus Omnitrophota. The record is from RNAcentral.